CCUACGGGAGGCAGCAGUGAGGAAUAUUGGUCAAUGGACGAGAGUCUGAACCAGCCAAGUAGCGUGAAGGAUGACUGCCCUAUGGGUUGUAAACUUCUUUUAUAAAGGAAUAAAACGAGGCACGUGUGCCUGUUUGCAUGUACUUUAUGAAUAAGGAUCGGCUAACUCCGUGCCAGCAGCCGCGGUAAUACGGAGGAUCCGAGCGUUAUCCGGAUUUAUUGGGUUUAAAGGGAGCGUAGAUGGGUUGUUAAGUCAGUUGUGAAAGUUUGCGGCUCAACCGUAAGAUUGCAAUUGAUACUGGCAGUCUUGAGUACAGGAGAGGUAGGCGGAAUUCGUGGUGUAGCGGUGAAAUGCUUAGAUAUCACGAAGAACCCCGAUUGCGAAGGCAGCUUACUAAACUGUGACUGACAUUGAUGCUCGAAAGUGUGGGUAUCAAACAGGAUUAGAUACCCUUGUAGUC
Molecule: ribosomal RNA, 460 nt
Filed under: uncultured bacterium
Lineage: Bacteria
Description: partial 16S ribosomal RNA
Rfam family: Bacterial small subunit ribosomal RNA
Source: RNAcentral